UACGGAGGAUGCGAGCGUUAUCCGGAUUUAUUGGGUUUAAAGGGUGCGUAGGCGGUCCGGAAAGUCAGCGGUGAAAGCCCGGGGCUCAACCCCGGCGAGCCGUUGAAACUGUCGGACUAGAGACGGCGAGAAGUACGCGGAAUGCGCGGUGUAGCGGUGAAAUGCAUAGAUAUCGCGCGGAACCCCGAUUGCGAAGGCAGCCUUCCGGCGCCCUACUGACGCUGAGGCACGAAAGUGCGGGGAUCGAACAGG
Molecule: ribosomal RNA, 252 nt
Filed under: uncultured bacterium
Lineage: Bacteria
Description: partial 16S ribosomal RNA
Rfam family: Bacterial small subunit ribosomal RNA
Source: RNAcentral